RNAcentral lists this ribosomal RNA (301 nucleotides) under uncultured bacterium. Its description in RNAcentral is "partial 16S ribosomal RNA". It matches the Rfam family "Bacterial small subunit ribosomal RNA", at positions 509 to 807 of the family's 1533-position model. The record is from RNAcentral.
CAGCAGCCGCGGGAAAACGAAGGGUGCAAGCGUUACUCGGAAUUACUGGGCGUAAAGCGUGCGUAGGUGGUGGUUUAAAUCCGUUGUGAAAGCCCUGGGCUCAACCUGGGAAUUGCAGUGGAUACUGGAUCACUAGAGUGUGGUAGAGGAUAGUGGAAUUUCCGGUGUAGCAGUGAAAUGCGUAGAGAUCGGAAGGAACAUCUGUGGCGAAGGCGACUAUCUGGGCCAACACUGACACUGAGGCACGAAAGCGUGGGGAGCAAAUAGGAUUAGAUACCCGAGUAGUCCCUGUCUCUUAUAC